AUUGAACGCUGGCGGCAUGCCUUACACAUGCAAGUCGAACGGCAGCGGACCUUCGGGUGCCGGCGAGUGGCGAACGGGUGAGUAAUAUAUCGGAACGUACCUUUCAGUGGGGGAUAACGUAGCGAAAGUUACGCUAAUACCGCAUAUUCUGUGAGCAGGAAAGCGGGGGAUCGCAAGACCUUGCGCUGAUUGAGCGGCCGAUAUCAGAUUAGCUAGUUGGUGAGGUAAAGGCUCACCAAGGCGACGAUCUGUAGCGGGUCUGAGAGGAUGAUCCGCCACACUGGAACUGAGACACGGUCCAGACUCCUACGGGAGGCAGCAGUGGGGAAUUUUGGACAAUGGGCGCAAGCCUGAUCCAGCCAUGCCGCGUGAGUGAAGAAGGCCUCGGUUGUAAG
Molecule: ribosomal RNA, 395 nt
Filed under: uncultured bacterium
Lineage: Bacteria
Description: bacterial SSU rRNA
Rfam family: Bacterial small subunit ribosomal RNA
Source: RNAcentral